CAUUCUUUAGUUUUGGUUUGGACAACACAAAAAAAAAGGAAAGGGAGAAAUUUUAUUUAUUAUUUGUGUAUGGGGAGAAAAAAAUAAAAUUAAAGAACAAAUAACUUCGUCACUUUUUUAAUCAAAGUAAACAGUUCAAACAUGACGCUACACUUUAUUUUUAUAAAUCCGGGCCAUCAACGUCAUACGCUCUAUUAAAAUAGAUUUCGCGAGAAACCAAUAAUAUUCGAUCUUGGUUGGCCUUUCACCCCAAGCCUGCCUUGUAAGGAAAGAGAGGUUCUCUAGGAAGGGCCAAUAGAAAAAAACGUUGAAAUGAGAGUUGCAUUUAGUAGCGUCACCGCCUCAUCCAAAUGAGACUUAGAAAGCCUAACUGGGAGGCAGGAAGAAGACUACACAAGUGGUUGUUCAAGAAGGAAACUCUUUGACUCCGCUUGCCUCUACUUUUCAUGUCAAGUGUACAAGUGCAAUUUAGUGGGAUUAACUUCUAAAGACAUGAUUUUUUUUUUCAUCUCCUCGGGCAAGAGCAUGUACAAGCAAGUCUAAUAGAAAAAAAAUGAGUG
Molecule: long non-coding RNA, 560 nt
Filed under: Panax ginseng (ginseng)
Lineage: Eukaryota; Viridiplantae; Streptophyta; Magnoliopsida; Apiales; Araliaceae
Description: long non-coding RNA (PGIN_LNC018436)
Source: RNAcentral